CAGAGAGGGAGCUAGAGAAAGCUGGUAAGAAAACCAAAAUGAAUGUCAUCCUUAUUGAAGCUGAUGGUUUGCAACUGGAGUGUACUUUAUUUGGUCAAUAUGUUGAUAUGUUAAAUGCAUUUCUGGCCUCUGGAGAGGAUCAACAUGUUGUCAUUGCUUUGCAUUAUUGCAAAGUGAAGACCUUCCAAGAUAAAGUUUCUAUUCAAAACUGUAUGAACUGUACCAAGAU
Vigna unguiculata (cowpea) is the source of this 229-nucleotide long non-coding RNA. RefSeq lists it as uncharacterized. The record is from RefSeq and is a predicted model, not a curated record. Lineage: Eukaryota; Viridiplantae; Streptophyta; Magnoliopsida; Fabales; Fabaceae.